RNAcentral lists this ribosomal RNA (416 nucleotides) under uncultured bacterium. RNAcentral's name for it is "bacterial SSU rRNA". It matches the Rfam family "Bacterial small subunit ribosomal RNA", at positions 30 to 452 of the family's 1533-position model. The record is from RNAcentral.
AUUGAACGCUGGCGGCAUGCCUUACACAUGCAAGUCGAACGGUAACGGGCCUUCGGGUGCCGACGAGUGGCGAACGGGUGAGUAAUGUAUCGGAACGUACCUUUCAGUGGGGGAUAACGUAGCGAAAGUUACGCUAAUACCGCAUAUUCUGUGAGCAGGAAAGCAGGGGAUCGCAAGACCUUGCGCUGAUUGAGCGGCCGAUAUCAGAUUAGCUAGUUGGUGAGGUAAAGGCUCACCAAGGCGACGAUCUGUAGCGGGUCUGAGAGGAUGAUCCGCCACACUGGAACUGAGACACGGUCCAGACUCCUACGGGAGGCAGCAGUGGGGAAUUUUGGACAAUGGGGGCAACCCUGAUCCAGCCAUGCCGCGUGAGUGAAGAAGGCCUCGGUUGUAAGACGCUUCGCGGAGAAUACGUA